GAAUGUUGAAUAAGAAAACCGAAGAAAGCCGGUUGUGAAAUAAUGUUUCACGUAAAUCCUGCCGAGGUGUAUGAAAAAGUUUUUAUUUUAGUGAUUUUUUUAGACCUCGUUUUCGAGGUCUUUUCUAAUAUAAAU
This is a non-coding RNA of Clostridiales bacterium, 135 nucleotides long. The record is from Rfam. NCBI's taxonomy places the organism in Bacteria, Bacillati, Bacillota, Clostridia, Eubacteriales.